RNAcentral lists this transfer RNA (76 nucleotides) under Paludibacteraceae bacterium. RNAcentral describes it as "tRNA-Pro". It matches the Rfam family "tRNA". Rfam says of the family: Transfer RNA (tRNA) molecules are approximately 80 nucleotides in length. Their secondary structure includes four short double-helical elements and three loops (D, anti-codon, and T loops). Further hydrogen bonds mediate the characteristic L-shaped molecular structure. tRNAs have two regions of fundamental functional importance: the anti-codon, which is responsible for specific mRNA codon recognition, and the 3' end, to which the tRNAs corresponding amino acid is attached (by aminoacyl-tRNA synthetases). tRNAs cope with the degeneracy of the genetic code in two manners: having more than one tRNA (with a specific anti-codon) for a particular amino acid; and 'wobble' base-pairing, i.e. permitting non-standard base-pairing at the 3rd anti-codon position. The record is from RNAcentral. Lineage: Bacteria; Pseudomonadati; Bacteroidota; Bacteroidia; Bacteroidales; Paludibacteraceae.
CGGGGUUUGGCGCAGUUGGUAGCGCGCUACGUUCGGGACGUAGAGGUCGCAAGUUCGAAUCUUGUAACCCCGACCA